UGCAAAUUAUGUUUUUCCUCAUGAUGGUCUUCCAAGCCCAUGUGGCUCUGACGACACUGCAUAAUGGCUAUAUUGAUGCAGUUUG
Small nucleolar RNA from Salmo trutta (river trout), 85 nucleotides. Lineage: Eukaryota; Metazoa; Chordata; Actinopteri; Salmoniformes; Salmonidae. The record is from Ensembl.